GACGAACGCUGGCGGCGUGCUUAACACAUGCAAGUCGAACGGGCCUGUCUUCUUUUUUGGGGGGUGGGUUGAGUGGCGAACGGGUGAGUAUCACGUGAGUAACCUGCCCUUCGGUCCUGGAUAACCGCUUGAAAGGGCGGCUAAUACGGGGUGGUCCGGUUGGUCCGCAUGGGCUGGUCGGGAUAGAUUCACUGUUUUUGGUGUUUCGGCGGGGGAUGGGCUCGCGGCCUAUCAGCUUGUUGGUGGGGUGAUGGCCUACCAAGGCGGUGACGGGUAGCCGGCCUGAGAGGGUGGGCGGCCAAACUGGGACUGAGAUACGGCCCAGACUCCUGCGGGAGGCAGCAGUGGGGGGUAUUGCACAAUGGGCGGAAGCCUGAUGCAGCGACGUCGCGUGAGGGAUGGAGGCCUUCGGGUUGUGAACCUCUGUUUCCGGUGGUGAAGGCCCUGUCCGUGUGGUGGGGUUGACGGUAGCCGGGGAUGAAGCGCCGGCUAACUACGUG
RNAcentral lists this ribosomal RNA (500 nucleotides) under uncultured bacterium. RNAcentral's name for it is "partial 16S ribosomal RNA". It matches the Rfam family "Bacterial small subunit ribosomal RNA", at positions 28 to 507 of the family's 1533-position model. The record is from RNAcentral.